This 305-nucleotide ribosomal RNA is filed under the name uncultured bacterium. RNAcentral describes it as "bacterial SSU rRNA". It matches the Rfam family "Bacterial small subunit ribosomal RNA", at positions 333 to 652 of the family's 1533-position model. The record is from RNAcentral.
GGAAUCCUACGGGACGCAGCAGUGGGGAAUAUUGGGCAAUGGGCGCAAGCCUGACCCAGCAACGCCGCGUGAAGGAAGAAGGCUCUCGGGUUGUAAACUUCUUUUAUCAGGGACGAAGCAAGUGACGGUACCUGAUGAAUAAGCCACGGCUAACUACGUGCCAGCAGCCGCGGCAAUACGUAGGUGGCAAGCGUUAUCCGGAUUUACUGGGUGUAAAGGGCGUGUAGGCGGGAAAGCAAGUCAGAUGGGAAAACCAUGGGCUCAACCUGGGGCCUGCAUUCGAAACUGUUUUUCUUGAGUACUGG